This is a long non-coding RNA of Mytilus trossulus (common blue mussel), 3428 nucleotides long. RefSeq lists it as uncharacterized. The record is from RefSeq and is a predicted model, not a curated record. The transcript is spliced from 9 exons. NCBI's taxonomy places the organism in Eukaryota, Metazoa, Mollusca, Bivalvia, Mytilida, Mytilidae.
CAGACAUAAAGACCUUUUUUUUAGAAACCAUGACAACAUGAAAAGUUUCAUCAAUGACUUUUCUGUCCAGAAAGGCACUAAUUAUGAAUGUUCCAAUUUUCAAGCAGGAGACAACAUUCGAUCCAAAAUCAAGAAUAGCAAACUGGAUGUCACAGGUGUCUUUGGUAGUGUUUGCAAACAUGAUAUUCUAUUCCAUUUUAUGGACCUGUCUCAUGGUGAAAGAAAAAUAAUUGUGAAGAAAUAUUAGAAAAGUGUACAUUUGCUAUUCCUGUCUUUCACAGCUUUGCACACAACAUGGCUUGUCAGUUGUCCUAUGGUCAACGGUUUGUUACAGGUGCAGGGUUGACAGAUGGUGAAGGCAUAGAGAGGCUGUGGUCUUAUCUAAGGGGAUUUAGAAAAAUCACAAAAGAAAUGUCACUCAAUAACAGACAAGAUCUUUUGACAGAGGCAAUGCUGCACCAUAGUGAAAAAACUAUAUAAGGAUUAGGGACAAGAAUGAUAACCAGACUUGAAAAAUGUGACACGAUCAUAGAGAACACAGAAAAAGUUGUUCAAGAUAUUCUAACAGAGUUAGAAGCAUCUGAAGACGCAGUAAGUGAUUGGCAGACAGAAUGGAAGUCACAAUGUCAUAUUAAAGGACGAAAAAAUGUUUUUCUGACAGUUGAUGUACAAUAUGCUGAGAGCUGAGACAACCUGGAAGAAAAGAAACAGCUUUUAAAAACUGCAGAUACAGUUAGUUCAAGAAAAGACCUUGAAAAGAACAUUGAAAGGUUAUCAAAGAUUUGUAAUAAUCUAAAAAGGAGGACAAGCUACAAAAUCAAUCUACAAGAGGAACCAGGAAUCACUCUUCUAUGUUCCAUUAAGAAAAAGAAGAAGCAUUUUAUUUUAAAGAAAUUGAAAGAUUUGGCAACAGAUAGACAGUAUUUGUCCAGUUGUAUGAAAAAAUAUGCAGAUGGUCAAGGCAUUGGACUACGCAUAAGCAUUCAGUUUUCUCAAAAUGCAAAUAAGAUUAAGAAAGAGCUAGUGAAUCUUAACCAAUGCCUGGGCAGUGAUCCAGUGAUCAUGCAAAGGAAGAGAAAAAAUCCAUAUGUGAAGAAGUCAUAAUUUGUUUCCAAUACUUAGUAAAGCAAAGCACGGAAAUACUUGAAUCUUUGUCAACUAUUGAGGCUGACCAAAGCCGUAUAGCUAAAGGAAAGCGUCAAUACCUUUAUUACAAACAUUUCAAUCUCGAACUCAUUGGAAAUAACUGUAAGGAUUUGUUUAAAAAUUAUAUUGAAUUUGACAUUCCUCAAACAGUUCAUGCUUUAUUAUCUGUUGAGCUUUUGAAACCAUCACAAUAUUUUGAAGACAUAACAUCGGAUGAACUCCAUUCAAUCCUUGAAGAAAUCAGAGAUUUAGAACAAUCACCAAUAGAAGAGGAUGAAACUAACGAUGAUAGUGACCUUGAAAUUGAUUAUGAUGUUGAAAAUUAUAUUGAUUAGAUAUUAUAAAAAAGAAGAUAUGGUAUAACUACCAAUGAGACAACUAUCCACAAAAGACCAAAAUGACAAACUUUAACAACUAUAGGUCACUGUACGGCCUUCAUCAAUGAGCAAAGCCCAUACCGCAUAGUCUGCUAUAAAAGGCUUCGAUAAGACAAUGUGAAACAAUUCAAACAAGAAAACUAACGGCCUCAUUUAUGUAAAAAAUGAACAAAAAACAAAUAUGUUACACAUAAUCAAACGACAACCACUGAAUUACAGGCUCCCGACUUGGGACAGGCACAUACAUAAAUAAUGUGGCGGGUUAAGCAUGUUAGCGGGAUCCCAAACCUCCCCAUAAACUAGGACAGUGGUAAUAACAGUACAACAUAAGAACGAACUAUAAGAAUAAUAAAUGUAUGAGAUUUGUUAGGAGACAUUACUAAAAUAAACUUAUUGCUUUAAGAUUUAAACUUUUAAGAAACACACAAGAGCAAUUAUCUCCCUUUGUUAAAAUCUGACAAGAAAAGUUUUCUACCUGUACAUCUUCAUUUUAAGUUGUUUUGAUGCCAGGCUUUAAAGAAGUUAAACUAAUUGUAAACAAUAAGGUGAUUUGUUUUACUAAAAUCCAUUUUAUUGCAAACCAAAUGAAAGCUUUCCACAGAGUCAUUUCUUGGUCAAGGUAUUUUUAUUUCUUCUGUUAAAUUGUCCCACCAUAGCUAUUGUUCUCUGUGUAGUUUAUUCAAAAUUUCUUCUGAGAAAUCUAUCUCUCAUUGAUCAAUUUACCUGAGUAAAAAAAUGAUCUUCUAAGUUAAGGAAAAUACUUGUAUCUUUAUUUGCAGAACUGCAUGUCAUGAUGAAUUAUAAAUGAUGUUAUAAUUCAUUGUAAAAAAUGUCUUUUUAAUCUGUUCAAUAUGACACUAAUUAAAUCAUAAAAAAAUGAUUUCUGACAAAAAAUUGAUCAUUGUUCCUAUUGAAAAUUGAGUUUUUUUGUUAACCUUUCAUAUAUAAUACAUUUAAGGUGGUACCUAACACUACAGGGAGAUAACUCUAUAAAAUCAGCUUAACGUCUAAAACUACGUUGUGUUUUAAAGGGAAUAAUAAGCUUCUCAAUGAUCAAAAUUGGUGUUUGUCAAACUACUAUAUAACCAGUGUAAUUUUUCUGAUGAAACAGUUGGUUCAAAACUUUUGAUUUUUUUAUAAUUUUGUUAAAGGGUUAAAGUAAAUACUUUGUCAAAAUUUUAUGAAAAUUAAACGAGCAACAUUUAUUUUAGUUAAAGUGUUGGGUACCACCUUUAGCAGACAUUUAUUUUAACAUUGUUAUGCAUUAGUUUUAAUUUGUAAUACAUGUACACACAAAAAGAAAAUUUUUAAUAGGAACAAGGUUUUGAUUUUUUUCAGAAAUCAAUUUUAAUUUUGAAUCAGUGCAUAUUAAACAGAUUGAAAAUGUAAUAUUUAUAUUAAAAAACAUAGGUCACAUGAAGUUCUGUGAGUAAUGAUUUUUGGUACUGAUACAUUUUUUUCAACAUUAAAAUUUAAAGUUAAAAGUAAAAAGAUAUAUUAUGAAGAUAUGCAUUGUUUGUAAAUUGCAUAAAAUAGAGUUUUCAAAUGAAUAUCUGCAUGGAGAAAAAUUUUCCUGUCUGAUGUCUUUAAGGGCAGAUAAUUUGAUUUAUAUUAUAUUCUGAACUUAGAAUAGACAGUUUUUCCUAUUAUUAUACUUCAACUCAAAAUAUCAGAUUUUGAUUGAAUUAUAGGAGUUUGAUACUUUUACUUUAUUCCAUAUUGAUAAAAUUUUAGUAGAUUUUUUCUAUAUGAAUGGGAUUUUGAAUGAAUAAGCAUUUUCUGUAUUACUAAAACAUUAUUACACCAGGGUUUAAGAUAUCAGAAACUAGUCAAAUUAUUUACUAAAUCAUUUUGUCAGUAUAAGGAAAUCAUUUGUAAAUAUAAAUAAACAUAAAUCAACAUGUA